RNAcentral lists this ribosomal RNA (529 nucleotides) under uncultured bacterium. RNAcentral's name for it is "bacterial SSU rRNA". It matches the Rfam family "Bacterial small subunit ribosomal RNA", at positions 777 to 1312 of the family's 1533-position model. The record is from RNAcentral.
AAUAGAUACCCCGGUAGUCCACGCCGUAAACGAUGGAUACUAGCUGUUUGAGCGCAAGUUUGAGUGGCUAAGCGAAAGUGAUAAGUAUCCCACCUGGGGAGUACGGGCGCAAGCCUGAAACUCAAAGGAAUUGACGGGGGCCCGCACAAGCGGUGGAGCAUGUGGUUUAAUUCGAUGAUACGCGAGGAACCUUACCAGGGCUUAAAUGUAGAUUGACGUAUUUGGAAACAGAUAUUUCUUCGGACAAUUUACAAGGUGCUGCAUGGUUGUCGUCAGCUCGUGCCGUGAGGUGUCAGGUUAAGUCCUAUAACGAGCGCAACCCCUGUUGUUAGUUGCCAGCGAGUAAUGUCGGGAACUCUAGCAAGACUGCCAGUGUAAACUGUGAGGAAAGUGGGGAUGACGUCAAAUCAUCACGGCCCUUAGUCCCUGGGCCACACACGUGCUACAAUGGCCGGUACAGAGAGCAGCCACUUAGCGAUAAGGAGCGAAUCUAUAAAGCCGGUCACAGUUCGGAUCGGAGUCUGCUAAC